RNAcentral lists this long non-coding RNA (242 nucleotides) under Capsella rubella. RNAcentral describes it as "long non-coding RNA (CRUB_LNC004059)". Lineage: Eukaryota; Viridiplantae; Streptophyta; Magnoliopsida; Brassicales; Brassicaceae. The record is from RNAcentral.
UUAUUUUUUUGCCAACAACAACAUUACAAGUUCAAGAUAUAAACCAAAGAGUUUCAAUAAAUAACUUGAAGAUUACAAGUUCGAGAAAUACGAGCAAGCGAGAAACGAAAUUAAUAAAACAUUAAGCAAACAAAUCGCAUUAUAAAAAUUGGAGAAGUUGACCAUCCUUCAAGAGAUUGCAUUAGGUUUUUCAAACACCCAACCAAUCACUGAUACAAAGUAUAAAACAAUAAAUAUCCAAC